RNAcentral lists this unclassified non-coding RNA (280 nucleotides) under plant metagenome. Its description in RNAcentral is "partial contains small subunit ribosomal RNA, internal transcribed spacer 1, and 5.8S ribosomal RNA". The record is from RNAcentral.
UUUCCGUAGGUGAACCUGCGGAAGGAUCAUUAUUGUAUAACCGAGGUGCGAGGGCUGUCGCUGACCCGAAAGGUCGUGCACGCCCGAGUGCCCUCACACACAUCCAUCUCACCCCUAUGUGCACCACCGCGUGGGUCCCCCUUUGGCUUGUUCGGAGGGGGGCUUACGUUUUCACACAAACUUUGUAUGCAGUGUAGAAUGUAUUUUUUGUUUUUGCGAUCACGCAAUCAAUACAACUUUCAACAACGGAUCUCUUGGCUCUCGCAUCGUGAAACGCAGC